CAUGACCCCAGGUCAGGCGGGACUACCCGCUGAGUUUAAGCAUAUCAAUAA
RNAcentral lists this ribosomal RNA (51 nucleotides) under Oldenlandia corymbosa. Its description in RNAcentral is "partial 26S ribosomal RNA". The record is from RNAcentral. Lineage: Eukaryota; Viridiplantae; Streptophyta; Magnoliopsida; Gentianales; Rubiaceae.